This 1749-nucleotide long non-coding RNA is filed under the name Olea europaea subsp. europaea. The record is from RNAcentral. Lineage: Eukaryota; Viridiplantae; Streptophyta; Magnoliopsida; Lamiales; Oleaceae.
CAAGAAAAUCCUAGGAGGCGUCUUGCAGCGUCUUAAAUAUGAAAGAAAAUAUAACCUACUGAGCCAGCAGUCCCAAAAUGGGUUGGGCUACAAAAUGGAAAUAACAAAGGGAAGACUACAUAACUACAACAUUAUAAAAACACAUUUCAUAAAUAACAAACUCAUUGAAAUAUUUCAAAAAUCAGGUGGUAAAUAUAUUUAAUAAAUAUAUUAAACUAUAACUUAAUAUACAUUAAUUAUUUCCACUCCAUGUCACCUCACUCACCCCAUCUUAUCACCCCACUACACCACCUUCCUUUUACCUCUCCACCGGAGAUAGCCAUCGGCUCCUUCUCCGGCGAUCGUUCAAGCAGCAACUCCGACGACCGUUCCGACAAACUGCUGUGGCAAACGCUCCGGUGCCUACUUUGGCAAACUGCUCCGACGACUAUUCCACCAAUUGUUUCGGCUUUGGUGAUAGAAAAAUCUCCAAAUUUUGUGAUGGUUGUAGUGGUGCAUUACAGUUAUCAGAUUUGCAACCGUGUUAUCUAUGACCAUACCUGUGUUACAUGUGGCAAAUUUAUUGACUUAUGUUAUUUGAGAAUCACCGUGACCAACUUUGCCUUAGGUAUGACUAAUUUUGACCAAAUUUGUAUUCAGUGUGACUGUCUGUGACCAGAUCAAUCUCAAGUCAUAAUCAGUCACAAUCAAUACAAAAUUGGUCACAAACACUUACAAUCAGAUCUCCAAACCACCACAAUAGAUUUGUUUGGAAAAAUAAUAACCAUUACCACCACUAACAUCUUUAAUUCAAAUUGAUGACCAUAAAUACUACAUUCACCUCAGAUCCACAACAAUCAUUACUACCAUAACUUCCACCAACCCUUCAAAAAACACCAACUAGCACCACUACACUUCUCUCGUAAAACUUCGGUGAGAGAAGUGGUAGGCGGUUGGAAUCUAGAGGGUGGGUGGGAAAGAAGUCGCAAAUCUGAUUUUUGGGUAAAAGAUUGCCAAACUAAUUCUUGGGGGAAGAAAUAGAGUGUGUGGGGUUAAAAAUUGAUAAAAGAUCUGGGGUAAAUUUAUACGGGGUCUGUGACCAAUUUUGUAUUUAAUGUGACUAUUUAUGACCAGAUCAAUCUCAAGUCACAACCGGUCACAAUCAACGCAAAAUAGGUCACAAACAGUCACAACCAGAUCUCGAACAGAAAAAAUCAUAUCUCCAAUGGCAACAGCAGAUCUGUUCAGAAAAAUAAUAAUCACCACCACUAUUAACAUCUUUAACUCAAAUCAAUAACAACAAUUAUCACUACCUUAACUUCCACCAAUACCUUCAAAAAACACAAACCAAUUGAUUGCUGAAUAUUUCUCAAUAAAGAUUUCAAAGAUUUUUCUUCAGUUAUUUCUUGAAAAGAUGAGGAAGAUUAUCAGAGAGAAGCUGUAGAUCUGAUUGUUCGUCACCAUAUGGUCCCCACGUUCACGUUUGGGUUUUGUUCUCCUCACACACUGUUUCUGCUUUAGGUGACCCAUGUACUGCAUUGGCACUUCCCAAAAAUCUAAGCUCAUCAACUUUCAAAGAAGAAAUUUGUGCGAAACUCCGACGAGAGAAGUGGUAGGUGGCUGGAAUUUAAAGGGUGGGGGUGGGGAAGAAGCCAUCGAUGAGAUUUUUGGGUAAGAGGGUGCUGAUAAAUUUUGGAGAAGAAAGAGAGAGUCAGUGAGUUAGAAAAUGAAUUGGGAUAUGGGGUAAAAGAAGUGUUUAGGGGUGAUAGA